RNAcentral lists this ribosomal RNA (745 nucleotides) under uncultured bacterium. Its description in RNAcentral is "bacterial SSU rRNA". It matches the Rfam family "Bacterial small subunit ribosomal RNA", at positions 754 to 1504 of the family's 1533-position model. The record is from RNAcentral.
CGAAAGCGCGGGGAGCAAACAGGAUUAGAUACCCUGGUAGUCCACGCCCUAAACGAUGUCAACUAGGUGUUGGGGAAGCGAUUUCUCAGUACCGCAGCUAACGCGUGAAGUUGACCGCCUGGGGAGUACGGUCGCAAGAUUAAAACUCAAAGGAAUUGACGGGGACCCGCACAAGCGGUGGAUGAUGUGGAUUAAUUCGAUGCAACGCGAAUAACCUUACCUACCCUUGACAUGUACGGAAGCCCUCAGAGAUGGGGGCGUGCCCGAAAGGGAGCCGUAACACAGGUGCUGCAUGGCUGUCGUCAGCUCGUGUCGUGAGAUGUUGGGUUAAGUCCCGCAACGAGCGCAACCCUUGUCCCUAGUUGCUACGCAAGGGCACUCUAGGGAGACUGCCGGUGACAAACCGGAGGAAGGUGGGGAUGACGUCAAGUCCUCAUGGCCCUUAUGGGUAGGGCUUCACACGUCAUACAAUGGCCGGUACAGAGGGUUGCCAAAGCGCGAGCUGGAGCCAAUCCCAGAAAGCCGGUCGUAGUCCGGAUUGCAGUCUGCAACUCGACUGCAUGAAGUCGGAAUCGCUAGUAAUCGCGGAUCAGCAUGUCGCGGUGAAUACGUUCCCGGGUCUUGUACACACCGCCCGUCACACCAUGGGAGCGGGAUGUACCAGAAGUAGGUAGGCUAACCGCAAGGGGGCCGCUUACCACGGUGCGUUUCGUGACUGGGGUGAAGUCGUAACAAGGUAGCCGUA